This 501-nucleotide ribosomal RNA is filed under the name uncultured Oscillibacter sp. RNAcentral describes it as "partial 16S ribosomal RNA". Lineage: Bacteria; Bacillati; Bacillota; Clostridia; Eubacteriales; Oscillospiraceae. The record is from RNAcentral.
CACGUAGUUAGCCGUGGCUUAUUCAAGAGGUACCGUCUUCUGCUCUUCCCUCUUAAAAGAAGUUUACAACCCGAAAGCCUUCUUCCUUCACGCGGCGUUGCUGGGUCAGGCUUGCGCCCAUUGCCCAAUAUUCCCCACUGCUGCCUCCCGUAGGAGUCUGGGCCGUAUCUCAGUCCCAAUGUGGCCGGUCAACCUCUCAGUCCGGCUACUGAUCGUCGCCUAGGUGGGCCGUUACCCCGCCUACUAGCUAAUCAGACGCGAGGCCAUCUUCCAGCGAUAAAUCUUUGACAUUCAAACCAUGCGAUUCAAAUGUGUCAUGCGGUAUUAGCAGUCGUUUCCAACUGUUGUCCCCCUCUGGAAGGCAGGUUCCUCACGCGUUACUCACCAGUCCGCCACUAAGCAUUCCUCUCCAUUGUCCGAAAACUCUUUCAAGGGUGCUCCGUUCGACUUGCAUGUGUUAAGCACGCCGCCAGCGUUCGUCCUGAGCCAGGAUCAAACUCU